AGGGAAACCGAGUCUUAAYYGGGCGUUAAGUUGCAGGGUAUAGACCCGAAACCCGGUGAUCUAGCCAUGGGCAGGUUGAAGGUUGGGUAACACUAACUGGAGGACCGAACCGACUAAUGUUGAAAAAUUAGCGGAUGACCUGUGGCUGGGGGUGAAAGGCCAAUCAAACCGGGAGAUAGCUGGUUCUCCCCGAAAGCUAUUUAGGUAGCGCCUCGUGAAYUCAUCUYCGGGGGUAGAGCACUGUUUCGGCUAGGGGGYCAUCCCGRCUUACCAACCCGAUGCAAACURCGAAUACCGGAGAAUGUUAUCACGGGAGACACACGGCGGGUGCUAACGUCCGUCGUGAAGAGGGAAACAACCCAGACCGCCAGCUAAGGUCCCAAAGUCAUGGUUAAGUGGGAAACGAUGUGGGAAGGCCCAGACAGCCAGGAUGUUGGCUUAGAAGCAGCCAUCAUUUAAAGAAAGCGUAAUAGCUCACUGGUCGAGUCGGCCUGCGCGGAAGAUGUAACGGGGCUAAACCAUGCACCGAAGCUGCGGCAGCGAACGUAUCACCCAAGACAACUUUACGGAGUUGACGAUUGACGGAGCGAAGCGACGUCAAAGCGUUCAUUAAAGUCGAGUUGGCUUAGGGAUACGUUCGUUGGGUAGGGGAGCGUUCUGUAAGCCKKYGAAGGUGGCCUGUGAGGGUUGCUGGAGGUAUCAGAAGUGCGAAUGCUGACAUAAGUAACGAUAAAGCGGGUGAAAAGCCCGCUCGCCGGAAGACCAAGGGUUCCUGUCCAACGUUAAUCGGGGCAGGGUGAGUCGACCCCUAAGGCGAGGCCGAAAGGCGUAGUCGAUGGGAAACGGGUUAAUAUUCCCGUACUUGGUGUUACUGCGAAGGGGGGACGGAGAAGGCUAUGUUGGCCGGGCGACGGUUGUCCCGGUUUAAGCGUGUAGGUGUGUGUUCCAGGUAAAUCCGGUUCACUUUAACACUGAGGCGUGAYGACGAGGCACUACGGUGCUGAAGCAACAAAUGCCCUGCUUCCAGGAAAAGCCUCUAAGCAUCAGGUAACAUCAAAUCGUACCCCAAACCGACACAGGUGGUCAGGUAGAGAAUACCAAGGCGCUUGAGAGAACUCGGGUGAAGGAACUAGGCAAAAUGGUGCCGUAACUUCGGGAGAAGGCACGCUGACACGUAGGUGAAGUGAUUUACUCAYGGAGCUGAAGUCAGUCGAAGAUACCAGCUGGCUGCAACUGUUUAUUAAAAACACAGCACUGUGCAAACACGAAAGUGGACGUAUACGGUGUGACGCCUGCCCGGUGCCGGAAGGUUAAUUGAUGGGGUCAGCGCAAGCGAAGCUCCUGAUCGAAGCCCCGGUAAACGGCGGCCGUAACUAUAACGGUCCUAAGGUAGCGAAAUUCCUUGUCGGGUAAGUUCCGACCUGCACGAAUGGCGUAAUGAUGGCCAGGCUGUCUCCACCCGAGACUCAGUGAAAUUGAACUCGCUGUGAAGAUGCAGUGUACCCGCGGCAAGACGGAAAGACCCCGUGAACCUUUACUAUAGCUUGACACUGAACAUUGAGCCUUGAUGUGUAGGAUAGGUGGGAGGCUUUGAAGUGUGGACGCCAGUCUGCAUGGAGCCGACCUUGAAAUACCACCCUUUAAUGUUUGAUGUUCUAACGUGGACCCGURAUCCGGGUUGCGGACAGUGUCUGGUGGGUAGUUUGACUGGGGCGGUCUCCUCCUAAAGAGUAACGGAGGAGCACGAAGGUUGGCUAAUCCUGGUCGGACAUCAGGAGGUUAGUGCAAUGGCAUAAGCCAGCUUGACUGCGAGCGUGACGGCGCGAGCAGGUGCGAAAGCAGGUCAUAGUGAUCCGGUGGUUCUGAAUGGAAGGGCCAUCGCUCAACGGAUAAAAGGUACUCCGGGGAUAACAGGCUGAUACCGCCCAAGAGUUCAUAUCGACGGCGGUGUUUGGCACCUCGAUGUCGGCUCAUCACAUCCUGGGGCUGAAGUAGGUCCCAAGGGUAUGGCUGUUCGCCAUUUAAAGUGGUACGCGAGCUGGGUUUAGAACGUCGUGAGACAGUUCGGUCCCUAUCUGCCGUGGGCGCUGGAGAACUGAGGGGGGCUGCUCCUAGUACGAGAGGACCGGAGUGGACGCAUCACUGGUGUUCGGGUUGUCAUGCCAAUGGCACUGCCCGGUAGCUAAAUGCGGAAGAGAUAAGUGCUGAAAGCAUCUAAGCACGAAACUUGCCCCGAGAUGAGUUCUCCCUGAG
Molecule: ribosomal RNA, 2253 nt
Filed under: Salmonella enterica
Lineage: Bacteria; Pseudomonadati; Pseudomonadota; Gammaproteobacteria; Enterobacterales; Enterobacteriaceae
Description: partial 23S ribosomal RNA
Source: RNAcentral